GGGGUCUUGUGCCGGUUGUGG
RNAcentral lists this non-coding RNA (21 nucleotides) under Arabidopsis thaliana (thale cress). Lineage: Eukaryota; Viridiplantae; Streptophyta; Magnoliopsida; Brassicales; Brassicaceae. The record is from RNAcentral.